Molecule: unclassified non-coding RNA, 350 nt
Filed under: soil metagenome
Description: partial contains 5.8S ribosomal RNA, internal transcribed spacer 2, and large subunit ribosomal RNA
Rfam family: 5.8S ribosomal RNA (bases 1-120)
Source: RNAcentral
GAUGAAGAACGUAGCGAACUGCGAUAAGUAAUGUGAAUUGCAGAAUUCAGUGAAUCAUCGAGUCUUUGAACGCACAUUGCGCCCCCUGGCAUUCCGGGGGGCAUGCCUGUCCGAGCGUCAUUGCUGCCCUUCAAGCCCGGCUUGUGUGUUGGGUCGUCGUCCCCCCCGGGGGACGGGCCCGAAAGGCAGCGGCGGCACCGCGUCCGGUCCUCGAGCGUAUGGGGCUUUGUCACCCGCUCGAUUAGGGCCGGCCGGGCGCCAGCCGGCGUCUCCAACCUUCUAUUUUACCAGGUUGACCUCGGAUCAGGUAGGGAUAUCCGCUGAACUUAAGCAUAUCAAUAAGCGGAGGA